RNAcentral lists this unclassified non-coding RNA (350 nucleotides) under Hevea brasiliensis (rubber tree). Lineage: Eukaryota; Viridiplantae; Streptophyta; Magnoliopsida; Malpighiales; Euphorbiaceae. The record is from RNAcentral.
CCAAUUGUUGAGCCAGAAAUCUUGCUUGAUGGUGAGCAUGGCAUUGACAGGACUUUUGAAGUAGCACUGAAGGUGUGGGCUGAGGUUUUCUACUACUUGGCAGAGAACAAUGUCCUGUUUGAGGGCAUUCUUCUCAAGCCUAGCAUGGUCACUCCUGGAGCUGAAUGCGAGGACAAGGCCACCCCUCAGCAGGUUUCAGACUACACCCUGAAGCUCCUCAAGAGGAGAAUCCCCCCAGCAAUUCCCGGAAUCAUGUUUUUGUCUGGUGGGCAAUCUGAGGUUGAAGCAACCCUGAACCUGAACGCCAUGAACCAAGGUCCAAACCCAUGGCAUGUGUCCUUCUCAUAUGC